UAACGGUCUCCAUUAUCUCUCAACGUCUCUCUCUGGUCACUAGAAAACAAAGAAAGAAAAAACUCUUAAAGAAAAAACAAUACUCUCCUUAAGAACGCUCUCUCUGUUGAGCAUAAAUGAAAAAGAGAAAAAAAGAAGAAAAAAGAAAAGAAAGAAAAUAGAAGAGAUUAAAUCUUCUCCCUUUCUCCCUACCACAUCUUCUUCACCAUACAUCCCCAUCUUCAACCUUAGCCGCCGACAAUUCAUCGUCGUCUUUCUAACAUACUCCCUCCGUUUCACCCAGUCCACAACCGUCGCGCCGACACGUGCAAAUCACUCAUCCGACGAGCUCCCUUCACCGACAAAUCCGCCUUCGCACCUUCCGUGAAAGCCGCCGUCUGCCAUCACAAACCACCGCUCAACCGCAACGGCCGCGCCUCUGACCGCACACCACUCACCUCCGUACAACCUCCCAACAACGUAAGGUCUCUCUUCUCUGUCCGUCAACAACCACCUCCGAUCUACUUCUCAAACAAACGCACCAACCAUCAGAAAACCCACAACCUUCUUCUUCACGCACACUUCCGUCAAACCUCCGCCUCCGAAGACACAUUUCACAAGACUACAUCACAGAAGACACAACCAUAAACCACUCCGACGUGAUUCGCAAGACUACAUCAACAUACUACAUAACUUGCUCCUCCUAAAAAAAACACUUCAUUUCUCACAAGUAAGUUGUUUCCAUGCAAAAUCUAUAGCUCCAACAAGCGUUAAUUAUGUAACGAGGUAUGACUGCACAAUUGCUUAUGUGGUAUUAAACAACAUGGAUGUUCAACUGUGAAUAUAACCAGCCGCCGUGAAUGCACAUUAUUUUAAUCCGCGGAGUUGGUAAUCUUAUGUCGUUAUGUCGCCUAAAUUUCAGUAUAUCAAUGGAUUACAUUCACCGUGUUAUGAUCUUGCGGAUGAUAUUAGUCAUGUUGUUAUUUCGCACAAAUCGGUUUGAGCACACCGAUUCAAUUAAGUAAAUCAACAUU
Molecule: long non-coding RNA, 1013 nt
Organism: Lathyrus oleraceus (garden pea)
Lineage: Eukaryota; Viridiplantae; Streptophyta; Magnoliopsida; Fabales; Fabaceae
Exons: 2
Source: RefSeq, a predicted model, not a curated record